Molecule: ribosomal RNA, 668 nt
Filed under: uncultured bacterium
Lineage: Bacteria
Description: bacterial SSU rRNA
Rfam family: Bacterial small subunit ribosomal RNA
Source: RNAcentral
UAACGCGUGGGUAACCUGCCUUACACUGGGGGAUAACACUUAGAAAUAGGUGCUAAUACCGCAUAAGCGCACGAAGCCGCAUGGAUUUGUGUGAAAAACUCCGGUGGUGUAAGAUGGACCCGCGUCUGAUUAGCUUGUUGGCGGGGUAACGGCCCACCAAGGCGACGAUCAGUAGCCGGCCUGAGAGGGUGGACGGCCACAUUGGGACUGAGACACGGCCCAAACUCCUACGGGAGGCAGCAGUGGGGGAUAUUGGACAAUGGGGGGAACCCUGAUCCAGCGACGCCGCGUGAGUGAAGAAGUAUUUCGGUAUGUAAAGCUCUGUCAGCAGGGAAGAAAGAAAUGACGGUACCUGACCAAGAAGCCCCGGCUAACUACGUGCCAGCAGCCGCGGUAAUACGUAGGGGGCAAGCGUUAUCCGGAAUUACUGGGUGUAAAGGGAGCGUAGACGGUUAAGUAAGUCUGGAGUGAAAGGCCGGGGCCCAACCCCGGGACUGCUCUGGAAACUAUUGAACUUGAGUGCAGGAGAGGUAAGCGGAAUUCCUAGUGUAGCGGUGAAAUGCGUAGAUAUUAGGAGGAACACCAGUGGCGAAGGCGGCUUACUGGACUGUAACUGACGUUGAGGCUCGAAAGCGUGGGGAGCAAACAGGAUUAGAUACCCUGGUAGU